This 497-nucleotide ribosomal RNA is filed under the name uncultured bacterium. RNAcentral describes it as "partial 16S ribosomal RNA". It matches the Rfam family "Bacterial small subunit ribosomal RNA", at positions 28 to 507 of the family's 1533-position model. The record is from RNAcentral.
GAUGAACGCUGGCGGCGUGCCUAAUACAUGCAAGUCGAGCGAACAGAUGAGGAGCUUGCUCCUCUGACGUUAGCGGCGGACGGGUGAGUAACACGUGGAUAACCUACCUAUAAGACUGGGAUAACUUCGGGAAACCGGAGCUAAUACCGGAUAAUAUAUUGAACCGCAUGGUUCAAUAGUGAAAGACGGUUUUGCUGUCACUUAUAGAUGGAUCCGCGCCGCAUUAGCUAGUUGGUAAGGUAACGGCUUACCAAGGCAACGAUGCGAAGCCGACCUGAGAGGGUGAUCGGCCACACUGGAACUGAGACACGGUCCAGACUCCUACGGGAGGCAGCAGUAGGGAAUCUUCCGCAAUGGGCGAAAGCCUGACGGAGCAACGCCGCGUGAGUGAUGAAGUUCUUCGGAUCGUAAAACUCUGUUAUUAGGGAAGAACAAAUGUGUAAGUAACUAUGCACGUCUUGACGGUACCUAAUCAGAAAGCCACGGCUAACUACGUG